Myotis lucifugus (little brown bat) is the source of this 518-nucleotide long non-coding RNA. RefSeq lists it as uncharacterized. The transcript has 3 exons. Lineage: Eukaryota; Metazoa; Chordata; Mammalia; Chiroptera; Vespertilionidae. The record is from RefSeq and is a predicted model, not a curated record.
CCGCAGUCCCAGCAUCAGAUGGUGUUGGCUGGAAUGGAGACAAGGUUGAACAGUAUCGGACUCAAUUGGAUUCAACAUGUGGACCUUAUGUUGGUCUCCUCGAGAGCACAUGAGGUAGCUACCGAGCAGAUGCAAAAAAUACAGAGGAUUUUUACUCUGCACUGUUGAUUCUGAGGAUUCAAGUCUGAAUUGAAAAGGGGCUGAAGUUUCAGGAAGUUUCAUCGUAUUCAAGUCCAAAUUAAAUUGAGGUAGAUUGCAGAAAGUUCUUCAAAGGCAAUUAUCUGGUAUGGGCCUUUUUCUGAUUGCAAAGAACAAGGCCACAUUCCUUCAAGUCUAUUUGUCUUUCUCAAAGGCCCAGAGGCAACCCUUCUACUUUCUAAAUAUUAUGAUGAUGAAACUUUUCAUUAUGUGAUGAACUGAAGCUCAGAAUAAAGCAUGCCAACUUGUUUGAAAACAGUUUUAAUAACUCAAAUUGCAGACCACCUCUUCAAAAUAAAAUUAGACAUGACACACCUACA